Molecule: ribosomal RNA, 465 nt
Filed under: Vreelandella stevensii
Lineage: Bacteria; Pseudomonadati; Pseudomonadota; Gammaproteobacteria; Oceanospirillales; Halomonadaceae
Description: partial 16S ribosomal RNA
Rfam family: Bacterial small subunit ribosomal RNA
Source: RNAcentral
CCUACGGGUGGCAGCAGUGGGGAAUAUUGGACAAUGGGCGAAAGCCUGAUCCAGCCAUGCCGCGUGUGUGAAGAAGGCCUUCGGGUUGUAAAGCACUUUCAGUGGGGAAGAAAGCCUUGGGGCUAAUACCCUCGAGGAAGGACAUCACCCACAGAAGAAGCACCGGCUAACUCCGUGCCAGCAGCCGCGGUAAUACGGAGGGUGCGAGCGUUAAUCGGAAUUACGGGGCGUAAAGCGCGCGUAGGCGGUCUGAUAAGCCGGUUGUGAAAGCCCCGGGCUCAACCUGGGAACGGCAUCCGGAACUGUCAGGCUAGAGUGCAGGAGAGGAAGGUAGAAUUCCCGGUGUAGCGGUGAAAUGCGUAGAGAUCGGGAGGAAUACCAGUGGCGAAGGCGGCCUUCUGGACUGACACUGACGCUGAGGUGCGAAAGCGUGGGUAGCAAACAGGAUUAGAUACCCGAGUAGUC